Molecule: ribosomal RNA, 119 nt
Filed under: Pteropus alecto (black flying fox)
Lineage: Eukaryota; Metazoa; Chordata; Mammalia; Chiroptera; Pteropodidae
Source: RNAcentral
AUCUACAGCCAUGCCACCCUGAACAAGCCCGAUCCCAUCUGAUCUCAGAAGCUAAGCAGGGUCAGGCCUGGUUAGUACUUGUAUGGGAGACCACUUAAGAAGGACAGGUGCUAUAGGCG